Small nuclear RNA from Neogale vison (American mink), 147 nucleotides. RefSeq annotates it as U4 spliceosomal RNA. Lineage: Eukaryota; Metazoa; Chordata; Mammalia; Carnivora; Mustelidae. The record is from RefSeq and is a predicted model, not a curated record. The transcript has a single exon.
ACUGUUAUGCAGUGGCAGUAUCGUAGCCAAUAAGGUUUAUCCGAGGCGCGAUUAUUGCUAAUUGAAAAAUUACUGUUACAUACUAAGAAAGAAAAAUUCUACUAACACCCCUAAUAAUAAGACAACUCAUUGAAAAAGUCAGCACUU